RNAcentral lists this long non-coding RNA (521 nucleotides) under Phoenix dactylifera (date palm). Its description in RNAcentral is "long non-coding RNA (PDAC_LNC016266)". Lineage: Eukaryota; Viridiplantae; Streptophyta; Magnoliopsida; Arecales; Arecaceae. The record is from RNAcentral.
UGUACUGCUGCACUUGUGAAACCAUGCCUUUACCAUUGCAUCAAUCAAUAGACCCCCCAAUGAAUAAUGCAUGAAUGUCAAGUAAUAUUUAGUAUGCCGAUGGUAAAUAUCACUCAGCUUUGUCCAAUAGUAAUAUGGAAUGAAUGUGUUGCAAAGUCGUUAAGGUGGGUUGUCUGUGGAGUGAAGACAGUAGUGUUUUAAAACAAUGUUUUUAUUUGUUGAUGGAGUUUAUGAUUGAAGAUUGAGAAUUAUGACUUGGUAAUGUGCCGUAGGAAUAAUAUUAUAGUAAUACAGUGCAACCAGGUCAUGAUCUAAUCGGGAAGAAGGGAAAUUUUUUUUCAACAUGCUUCUCUUGAAUCUCUUCAAACAUAGAAAAACUGGUAAAAGUAGGGUAUAGGUCUCCUUUUUUCCAUUAAUGAUGAUAAAACUGAGUUGCAAUAUCUUUAUUUAAACUAAUUAGAUCCUCCCUUACACAACCCAAGUUGAAUUUAUUUUCUAUUAAAAAAUGGCACAACUUUUCC